RNAcentral lists this long non-coding RNA (374 nucleotides) under Elaeis guineensis (African oil palm). RNAcentral describes it as "long non-coding RNA (EGUI_LNC014303)". The record is from RNAcentral. Lineage: Eukaryota; Viridiplantae; Streptophyta; Magnoliopsida; Arecales; Arecaceae.
GGACGGAAUAAAUUUUAAAUUUUUUAUCCUAUGCUAUUUUAGAUCUAAUAUCUAUUAGAUCUAAUUUUAUUAUCUGAUAUUUUAAUUUCAAAAAUUAAAUCUAAAAGUAUGAGAAAUAUAGACAUACCUUAAGGGUAAUCUAAUUACCCUGUAGAUGAUCGCAGCACUGUCUGAGGUUCUGAUGUAGCCACACAAGCGCCUGGCCUCUACCAGUAUCCACUCAGAUAGGAUAUGGAACGUCUUAUCCUCACAAUUCUAUGCUCCAAAAAUUAGAUCAAUAUCUGAUUUGGAAGUACUUCAGAAAUCUUUCUGAAGUUGGAGCAACAGCCUGUCGAAGAUGUCCUGUAGCCUUCUGUUCCAGGCAUCACCACGCC